GAUGAACGCUAGCGGCAGGCUUAACACAUGCAAGUCGAGGGGCAGCGGGAGUAGCAAUACUUGCCGGCGACCGGCGCAAGGGUGCGUAACGCGUGAGCAACAUGCCCGUAUCAGGGGGAUAAUCCAGGGAAACUUGGUCUAAUACCGCAUAAUAAUCAUUUGGGGCAUCUUGGAUGAUUUAAAAUUUCGAUGGAUACGGAUUGGCUCGCGUGACAUUAGCUGGAUGGUAGGGUAACGGCCUACCAUGGCUACGAUGUCUAGGGGUUCUGAGAGGAAGGUCCCCCACACUGGAACUGAGACACGGUCCAGACUCCUACGGGAGGCAGCAGUGAGGAAUAUUGGACAAUGGGAUGGGAAAUCUGAUCCAGCCAUGCCGCGUGCAGGAAGACGGCCCUAGUGGGUUUGUAAACUGCUUUUGAUGGGAGCAAUAAGGGCUACGUGUAGCCUGAUAGGAGUACCAUACGAAUAAGGACCGGCUAACUCCCGUG
This 488-nucleotide ribosomal RNA is filed under the name uncultured bacterium. RNAcentral describes it as "bacterial SSU rRNA". It matches the Rfam family "Bacterial small subunit ribosomal RNA", at positions 28 to 507 of the family's 1533-position model. The record is from RNAcentral.